RNAcentral lists this long non-coding RNA (2664 nucleotides) under Neodiprion pinetum (white pine sawfly). Its description in RNAcentral is "uncharacterized LOC124223824". Lineage: Eukaryota; Metazoa; Arthropoda; Insecta; Hymenoptera; Diprionidae. The record is from RNAcentral.
UGAUAUAUAAUGCUUGUGUAUCGCAAGUAUAAUAAGCGGGAGAUUAUUGAAAACCUACCAUGUUACGUAUGCUCGUUCACCGGACGGUGGGUUAAAGGUAGCCCAGCAGUCCCAAAUAUCCGGCGAGACCUCUUGUUCAUUGGAACCAAGUUGAACCAGAUGCAACGGGUUGGAGAAAGGUAUACCGUGUGACGACAGCUAUUACAGAUAUACACACGCGCAAAGGUAUUAUCUAAACAUGAGCGUGCUACCGUUAAUUAAUUAUGCUUGCACUUGACAGAAAGGAUUCAAAUGUGAAUGAUUUUGUUGCGACGUUUCCCGAAUUAUAUCACUGAUGCACGUUAUACCUGCGGUAUGCAGAAAGCCAAGGACAAAGACCAUGCGAGGCAAACCGUAAUUUUCGACCUCCUGGACGUAAAGCUGGAAUAGGCGAGCGGAUGGCAAACUGCUUUAUAUCUGUCCAGUGCCGUUGCCGUCAAAAUGUACGAGCUCGAGUAAGGGCCAAGCGGUUGACCGAACUUGACUAAUUUGCAAAGAAUCGGCCCACCUUGAAACCUGUAACGAUCCGCCUUGUAAGAUAGAAACCCGUUGUGUGAAUUAUCGAGGCCGUGUAAUUUAUAUUGUUAUACCUGAAGGUAAUCUCCCAGGCGAGCUGUGGGAAUACGUUUAGAAUUGCCGUCAAGAGGUCUGCUACGCUAAGAUGUAGAAUAAAGAGGUGCAUUCUUGUAAGGUUCUUCUUGGGAGCAUCGUAUCCCCUGAGAUAAAUGGCGAGCAGCACCAAAGAAUUUCCAGCCAGAGCCGCAAGGAACAUCGCCGCCAGUGUCGCGAUUUCCCAAUUUGCCAAAUAUUCGUCUCGCGGAUCAUCCUUCUUGUUAGUAUUUUCAGUUGUCCCAUUCAAGCCAGCCGUCGUUAAUUCGAUAAUACCGGAGUUUUCACCCGUAAAAUUAACCAUUAUUAAACCCGUCAGCGUUGAAGCCUAUACUGACCGAAUUGCUUGUACGCGGCUUACUUUUCGCGAUCAGCUCUAUAGGUAUAUAAUUUAUAAUAACGCUGACGACAAUAAAAUGAAUAAUGAUUCUUCGUGACGGACGAUUUACGUUUCUUAUUCCUUUUACUCACACACUCACACACUCACACACACACACACACACACGCGCGCGCGCGCGCGCCCGCCCGCACAUUAGGUGAGUUGAUCGCGUUAGUUGUGCUCUCGGGUACAACGUAGUCGAUAUAUACGUAUAUAACGCGAGAUUAGUUAUUCAGUUGUUAGAUCGUUCAAAAAUAUAUAUUGUGAACUUCUUUGUUUUCAGAAAAAAAUUCCAUUGUUUAUCCGCAUCAGCAUUGCUAAUUUUCUUUUCCACCAUACGUCCAGCUUGACCCCUAAAGUCAAUUAUACAUCGCGCGAAUACUUUUUCUCGCACCCUGUGCAAGUAUGAUCCGUGCGAGUAAAACCGCGUGUUCGCCAUAUUUCGGUAUUCAGCUGCCAUUGAGUUUGUCACAUAAUUCGUUAUUGACGCAAAGUGAAACGAAACAUUGUCAACUAUAUAUAGUUACAUCAUUAAUAUGAUCCGAAAGUUCGCAUGAACAUACUAUGUGUAUGUGUAUACAUAUAAUUUCGACGCAUCAGAAGAAUAACGUUAUCUGAUCGGUAUACCACCGAAAAAGAUACCGUCGCAAGUUAUACCUAUACAUUCAUUUUCAUCAAAAACACGUUGUCGACACUACGGCGCGAUAGAUAUAAAAUCAAAAAUUGAAUGUGUUCGUUCGUUACGUCUGCAAAAGAUUUGCCUAGCUCAAACUACUCAAAUUUGACCAAGUUUUUGCGAACCAUCGUUCAUUUGAAAUUGAAUACGUAUUAUUACGAUAUACUCGGAUGAGAAAUCAGUCCAUUGUUUAUUAACGCAGGCUAUUCUGUUGUACCGUGCUUAGGCGAGUCAAUUAUAUGCACUCGUCGGUUCAGCACUGGGUAAUAAAUUUUUAAGAACCUGUAACCCGUGCGGGUCCGUUGUACGACUUGGUUUUUGGUGCCACGAGUCAUCGAAGACCGAAGUACAUCUGAAACCUACAGGUGACGAACGACUCAAGGCGGGUGUUUACUAAAAUUAGAUGGCCGGGCGGGGGGUUCCAACACACCACUACAACGGAAAAAAUGAAAUAGAAUUUAAUGUACCAAAAAUAUUAUAAUACAUAUAUAUAUAUACCAAACGGUGUGCAAAAUUAAUUGAUAACGAAAUCAUUAAAAUAACCCCCACACCUUGCAGGCUGUACGCGAAAAUUUCAACUGUCAAGUUAUGAAAUGCCUAAAUACAUGUUUUCCUAAUAUUCGACACUUGUCACCUAAUCUGAUUCCACCUAUUCGGAUCAGCACUAUAGCCUACUAUCAACCUGAUGGUUGUAAUUGCAAAUGUAAAAUUGCGUGAGCUGCAAAAUGAUUGUUGUUUCCUGAAUUACGUGUAGAUCAAAAUGUCGGACUGUAUAUCUAGCUAUCAACUGUGUAUCGAAAAAUUGAAUUGUGACUCUGUGUGUGUGUGUGUGUGUGUGUGUGAGAGAGAGUGUGAGUGUGUCACGCAAUCGUUUCGCGUCAAGAAAGUAAGUGUCGAAAAGGCAAAUGCACAAUUCGAUUCCAGCGUUUUCCAAAAUGGGAAACGGAUUUACCUUCUUAGU